This 484-nucleotide ribosomal RNA is filed under the name uncultured bacterium. RNAcentral's name for it is "partial 16S ribosomal RNA". It matches the Rfam family "Bacterial small subunit ribosomal RNA", at positions 29 to 507 of the family's 1533-position model. The record is from RNAcentral.
AUUGAACGCUGGCGGCAUGCUUUACACAUGCAAGUCGAACGGCAGCGCGGGCUUCGGCCUGGCGGCGAGUGGCGAACGGGUGAGUAAUGCAUCGGAACUUGCCCAGUAGUGGGGGAUAGCCCGGCGAAAGCCGGAUUAAUACCGCAUACGACCUGAGGGUGACAGCGGGGGACCGAAAGGCCUCGCGCUAUUGGAGCGGCCGAUGUCGGAUUAGCUAGUUGGUGGGGUAAAGGCUUACCAAGGCGACGAUCCGUAGCUGGUCUGAGAGGACGACCAGCCACACUGGGACUGAGACACGGCACAGACUCCUACGGGAGGCAGCAGUGGGGAAUUUUGGACAAUGGGGGCAACCCUGAUCCAGCCAUGCCGCGUGCGGGAAGAAGGACUUCGGGUUGUAAACCGAUUUUGUUCGGGAAGAAAUCCUCUGGGCUAAUACCCCGGGGGGAUGACGGUACCGGAAGAAUAAGCACCGGCUAACUACGUG